CGAGACCUCGAUUUUUUCUUUCUCCUCGGCCACGUGAAGUGAAGGUGCUGCAAAAAGAUCACAGUCGUGUCUCGAGUGCCCAAAUAAUCCAAAACCAAUUCCAAAGGCAAAGAUACUGAAAAAUUAAAAAAAAUCACGAACGCAUGAAAAUAAUUAAGCAAACAUGUUCGCUCGCAAGUGGCGUUCAAUCUCGAAAUUGCAGCAAGCUGUCGGUAGUGGGAAUUUCCCACAAUUUUUUGUCAGCCAGCGGCACAAGUUUGACAAAAGAGAAGCUAACUUGUGGUCCAAAACCAACACAGAUAGAGCCCUGGAUCAUUUCGAUGAUUUUUAUGGUACAUUUUAUGGAGACCUUUGGCCAGCAACAAGACUUGCAAUGUUGUCUACACCUAAACAUUGUGCUUUAGUUAAUUACUACGGUGACUAUAACGAAACUAUUGAAAAGCUCAAGAAUAUGGGGUGCAUGGAUAUUCAAGAACUUUUUGAACAAAGCCGUUCCAAAAAAACCAAAACACGUAAAACCCCAGAAAACAUGCCUACUGAUGUCCUCGAAAAGGAAGCUGGUGUUGAAGAUGAGGAGAGUGAAAACUUUCAAGAGCUCACAGAUGACAGAGUCAUCUCUCCUGGUCAGACAACUUCUGCCUACUUGAAUUUUGUUCCGACAACAAAAUUAAAAGGGAUGGAAGAUUGGCUAGAGGAAGAAGAUCAGUUUGAAUAUGUCAAGCCAACUUACGACUUUGUGGUUGAAAAGCAAAAAGACGAACGCCUGGAUUUCCCUUCUCUGCUCAAAGCGUUUGUUUUUCCACGAGGGGACAUCUCGCGAUUUCCUUCCCCUAAAAAAAGUACUUUUGGUACUUCCAAUUAUUACUUGAUGGACGCUGCAUCUCUACUUCCCGUAUUGGCGCUGAACCUACAGCCAACUGAGUCUGUCUUGGAUUUAUGUGCAGCACCAGGAGGGAAAUCCCUGGCUAUAUUACAGACGCUCUAUCCAAAUAGACUUGUCUGCAAUGACAUUACGAUUUCGCGGAUUUCGCGCCUUAAUAAUGUGCUGAAGCAAUAUCUUGGGCAGACGCAAACCUGGAAGGAACAUCUAGAGGUCCGAAAAUCGGAUGCUUUGCACUGGUCUGAAUUUGAUGCGUUCGAUAAAGUCCUGGUGGAUGUGCCCUGUACCAAUGACAGGCAUUCAGUCAUGGAGGAUGACAAUAAUUAUUUCAAGAAAGAUCGAAUGAAAGAACGGAUAAGUUUGCCUGAAACUCAGUCAGCCCUCCUCUGCGCCGGAGUUCGAGCGUGUAAGCCCGGUGGCACUAUCGUCUAUUCCACCUGUAGCCUUUCGCCCAUUCAGAAUGACGGUGUCGUUCAUAUGGCAAUAAAGCAACUCAAGGAAAUGUACAAAAUCGACACGGUCGUCAAGGAUAUGUCGAUGACGGCUGGACAUUUUAGGUUCCUCUGCCGUUUUGCCCCAUCAUCCUCACUCCGUUACGGCCAGGUGGCGCUUCCUUCCAUUGUCAACAACUUCGGACCCAUGUACAUAUCCAAGUUGCAGCGAGUCAUUUAACAUCUUUUGUCGUCUAGAGGUCAUCAUGGCAAUUUAGUGCCUUGACAAAUGUCUCCAUCAGUUUCCCAUAGUGCGGAGGCCAAGUUUGAAUAGGAAUUGAACUGUGUUGCGUUAAAGUUUCGUGACUUACUGAAACGGGUUUUUCUUCUACGUCCAACUUGACCUUAGAGCAACAUCUUCACAGCAUUGAUUCCAAGAGUGGGGGGACAUUUCUGCUACGCCAACCGGUUUCGAAGGUAGCGGACAUUCAGGGCACACUGCUGGUAUGUAUAAUCUUCUAACCCCACUGUGAAAGCCAAGUGUCCUUGUUUCGCAUUUGAAAGGAAAAGCACUAGAGUCAACCAUAAAUCACGCCACCGAAACAAAAUUAUUUUCAACUUUUACAAGUCAUCUCAAUUUUUUUGUCGCCAUUCUUAGGGCAGCGUUGGCGUUAUAAGGUCAAGA
This 1996-nucleotide unclassified non-coding RNA is filed under the name Daphnia pulex (common water flea). RNAcentral's name for it is "5-methylcytosine rRNA methyltransferase NSUN4-like, transcript variant X1". The record is from RNAcentral. Lineage: Eukaryota; Metazoa; Arthropoda; Branchiopoda; Diplostraca; Daphniidae.